AACAUUGUGAUCACUUCGAUCCUGACAGCUUAGCGAAUUAUCUGCAUUAAUUUCCGCAACACUGUGCGUUGUAUCCAGCACACAAUGCGAAGCUGAGCCAAACCAAUCCACUGACGAUGGUGGCAUGGCGCGUUGGUUGGCGCCGUUGUUUUAGGUUGUUUAGAGCCACGGAGGAAGGAAAGAACUGUGGUUUAGAGGUUUAGAGCACAGUGCUCGGUGCCUGGGGAUUCGUAGAUUGUUCUGCGGGCUUGAGCCUAUUGACCGGCUCAAUAGAACAUAUUUGCAUUUGCUAAAGUUCCAGCUUAGUGUUUCCGAAGUGACGGCAGGGUAGUUGUGGUCGAUCGGAGUUAUUUGCUGUUUCACCCUUCGACGGCUCCACGUUCGCUGCGCCUCAUCAACAGGCUCAUACUUGGCGAAGUGGUGUAGCUGCUUCAAGACUACACGGGCGAAAAAAAGAAAAGGCCCAAUGGUAGCGGGUAGCUGCUGCCGAAUGGCGACCUUUCUGAGCGGACCUACCAAGCACUUUCGGAUCGGCAAGUAUGCCACCUGGAUGACCACAGGAACUUUUAAAUAUAUGUGGCCUAGGGUGUCCUAGAGACUGAUUUGGGGCUGCAUAUUCUUGCUUCGGCAUGACAGACGAAACGUCAUGGUGGCUGACACGUUGGGCUACGCAUCAUCGUGUAUGGGAGUUUCCGUAAUGAGUGGCUAGACUUUUCAAGUUCCCAUUGUCCAGUGAAGCUUUUGA
Molecule: long non-coding RNA, 745 nt
Organism: Rhipicephalus sanguineus (brown dog tick)
Lineage: Eukaryota; Metazoa; Arthropoda; Arachnida; Ixodida; Ixodidae
Exons: 3
Source: RefSeq, a predicted model, not a curated record